CGAGCAUACAAAGUUAGAAACCCAAAAAUCUCCAAAAUUUCACCCACAUCUGCAUUCCUUUGGUGUUCUUGUCGCCGCCAUUCAGAUUCCAGGUGAAACUCAGUAUCGAUUUGUGUCGCUUGUACAAUUCUUCUUCUGUUAACCAUAUUAUUUUAGGACACGAAGAGAAGGAGGAGACAAGCCAGACAAUACAUUUGUUUCAUCUCUGUUUCGAUUUCGCGAGUACUGAUUUGUGAUUAUUUUUGGGGUGAAACGAUUUGAUUUGUGGUUCGUUUUUGUUCUGUUUUGCUUUCAAGGUUGGAGCUUUUGAUCGUUUAUUUGUGGAGUGAAGUCGACUUGAAAUCUAAAGGAGCUUAUUGAGAAACUUAGAAUAUAAAAAUAGUCGAAAAGUCAUGGAUUCAUCUUAGCAGGUAAACAAAAAUAUACACUUAAGGAUUUAUUGGGGGAUUAAGAGAGUUUAAGUCUUGCUAUUUUCUUAUGCUUGCAUAUUCUGUCUUAACGGAAGAGCUGAUCCUGGUUAUGAGAGAGGUGCUUGGGACUUUGUGAGUUCUGUUGGUGCAGUUUUACGAGACUCUGAGAUGAUCAUUUUCCCAUGCAUUGACUGUCGCAACAUAGAUCGUCACUCAGCCGGUGUUGUUGUUGAUCAUCUUGUAACAAGGAGAAUGGAUUUGAGUUACGAGAUGCGGGAGGAUUGGUAUCAUCAUGGAGAAGUGAUGUCAGGGAAUGAUUGUAGAAGCAAUGCAAGUGAGAUGAACAAAAAAGAUUUUAGGGUUAUACCAAGCUGCUGCGUUUCUUGAUGAAAAGUUUCUUAGGCAUGGAGACUUAAGUGAUGUUUCUAACGGUGAAGAUAAGCAAGAAAACGAGUGAUCUUGCAAAACUAGUCGAUGCAGAAACACUUCUGUAUCCAAGUUGUGAAAACCACAGCAAGCUCUCAGACACAAAGUAGGUUGUCUUAUAGAAGCUUCGAUUUUCUGCUAGAGACUUUGCCACAGAUGGUACCCAAGGAUAUCUCUUGCACACAUCCUUGUACGAACUGAAGAGGUUUCUGAGAUCUUUUGAGAUGGGUUAUGAGAAGAUACACGCUUGUGUGAACGACUAUUGUCUAUUCAGAAAGGAGUUUCAAAAGCUAGAAAAAUGUCUGAAAUGCAACGCUUCAAGAUGGAAGAUUAACAAGCGCACAGGUGAUGUGAAGAAAUGAAUUCCACAAAAAUUUCUUAGGUAAUUUCCACUAAUUCCACGUCUCAAGAGGAUGUUCAGGUCAGAGGACAUGGCGAAGGACUUAAGGUGGCAUUUUACUAAUAAGAGCGCAGAUGGAAAAUCCGAUAUCCGUUAGAUUAUGUCCUUGGGAUCAAUUGAAUGACAAAUACCCAUCAUUUGUCGCUGAAGAAAAGAAUCUUAGUCUUGGACUUUCCACUGAUGAGUUUAAUCCUUUUAACAUGAACAUUAACUAUAGUGCUGGCAUGUUUUGCUAGUGAAUUACAACAUGUCACGUGAUAAGUGUAUGAAGGAGGAGAACAUCAUGUUGUCAUUGUUGAUUUCUGAUCCAACCCAACCUGGAAACAAUAUAGAUGUGUACUUAGAACCACUUAUACAGGAUCUCCACAUCUUUGGGAGAAAUGAGAGUUAAUGUGUGAUUCAUUCAGUCUCACUACUUUCACGUUAAGAGCCAUACUUCUCUGGACCAUUCAGGAUUUUCCUGCAUAUGGAAAUCUUGCAGGGCAAAAUGGGUUUGUCCUGUGUGUGGAAAAAAACACAGAUAAUAUGUGGUUGAGUAAUUACAUAAAGCAUGUAUAUAUGUCCCAUCGGAAAGGUCUACCUCCCACACAUACUUAUCAGGCAAGCUCCAACCAUUAAAAUGCACCUGUGACCCAAGAAUGUAAAUACAACUGAAUGGUGUAAAUUUGUCAAAGAAAAGACAAGUAAUGCCUUUAAGGUUGUCAGUAAUUCGUACUAAGAGAGAAGAUGAAAGCAGAUUCCUCACACUUCUGGGCGUAAAGAAAUGGUGAGAUUGAGAGUAGAUUUGGUAAAUUCUAGCGAAGACCCAUCACAAGUGUCGAGGCUAAGAGUUUGGGUCAAAUCAUGAACUAAGGAUGCUGCGCCUGUCAAUGUGAAUGCGGCUGAAAAUAUUAGAAAGGCAUCAGAGAUAGAAAUGUGAAUGCGGCUGAAAAGAUUAGAAAGGCAUCAAAGAUAGAACUAAAGGGUCGUCAAGAUUCAAUGACAACGAGUCCAAAGCAAGAUGGAAUUACUCAGAUAUUUGGACCUGAUAAUCCUGGCCGGUUGAGGGCAAUGGGCAUAGGCAUUAGCAUGAUCAAACUGACUUGUUUACAAGUUAGGAACAGCUUUGUGGCUGCAAUGGAAGAAAAACACGUGUCUCUGGAGAAACAGGUUUAUAAUCUAUAACAGACCAUUGCGAGAAUGAAAUAAUCAGGGAGAAUAACAGGAGUGUAAAUACCAGAUCACUUCCCAAGUAUUAUCGGGUUGACUGGUAAUCUGUUGAUGUGAAUGUUGCUGAGGGACGGGUUGUUCCAGCUGAUGCUGAUGAGUUAGUUAAUGGGAUUCCUUUAGGCCUUAACGUUGUGAAGGUUUUAGUUGAAACUGCAAUCAAACCAGAGACCUUUUUAUGGAGACCUGAACAUAAUAUGUUUACUAUUGAGGAUGCAGUGGGAGAGAUGAUUGCAUGGCAUGCCGAUCAUUGUAUUGUUCCGACAGCAAGUUUCAUUCAAGAGGACAAUACUCCUAAGAGCCCUUCCACAAAACUCAUGGACUAUAUACAGAAUGCGGAAGUGGUGAAGUGGUUGCUGUAGGCCGAUGGCAGACUAUAGAACUGAAAGCGUUGAUCAAUGGACUUCCUCUUGGUCCAAAUGGAAUAAAAGUGUACGUGGAUAAGGUAGUAAACCCAAAUGCAUAUGGAGGCCUACAUUUGGCAAGACAACUAUGGAGGGUUAUCUGAACUGUUUUGUAGCAUGGCCUUCAAAUAGCGUUGUCUUUGACUCAAGAACACCACAUUCUCCUGAUCUACAAAAACCAAGUUCUAAAACAGUAAGUUCAACUUCUAAGAAUCAAAAGUCUCCACUAAGUGCAGCAGCUUCGCCGAAGAAACCUGCAGCGAGUUCUAAAGAUAAGUCUACGAAUGAGGAGUCUCCAUAAACUCCACCAGCUCCUACAAAGAAACCUGCAGCAAGUCAGAAAGAGAAGUGUACGAAUGAGAAGUCUCCAGUAACUCCAGCAUCUCCUCUUCGCAGAUCAGAGCGUAACAAAUUCAAGCAAAAUAAAAAAAUCAAGUUCCUUGAUCUGUCCAGAAAUAACGUGAUUGACGCUGAAGGACGUUGGUCAUCGGAUAAUCCUGAAAUCUUGUCCACUUUGUACCUUUGGUCCCUGGUGCAGGUCGAGUCUUUGUGAAUGUUGUCAAGGUUAAAGAUGCUACUGUGUGGAGGACAACAUCUGAGAUCAAGUAUAUGGAAGAUGCAUUUGGAAGCUGUCUUGCUUGGCCAGAGGAUAAAGUUAUUAUGGUCUAACCCCAAAAACAGAAGGAACCAAGCAAUUAAGUUAUUCUAAUACAUAAAAUCCUUUGUGUUUCUCUGUUUCAAAACAUGACUGUGUCUUUUUUUUAUGACUUUAUUUUUUAUGUAUGCUUUGGAUCUUUAAUUACCGUA
Long non-coding RNA from Brassica oleracea var. oleracea, 3653 nucleotides. RefSeq lists it as uncharacterized. The transcript is spliced from 9 exons. Lineage: Eukaryota; Viridiplantae; Streptophyta; Magnoliopsida; Brassicales; Brassicaceae. The record is from RefSeq and is a predicted model, not a curated record.